CCCUUAGAUGUUCUGGGCCGCACACGCGCUACACUGAAGGAGGCAGCGUGUACUCCUGGAUCGAAAGAUUUGGGUAACCCGCGAAUCUCCUUCGUGCUAGGGAUUGAGGUUUGCAAUUAUCCUUCAUGAACGAGGAAUUCCCAGUAAGUGCAAGUCAUAAGCUUGCGCUGACUACGUCCCUGCCCUUUGUACACAUCGCCCGUCGCUACUACCGAUUGAAUGAUUUAGUGAGGACUUCGGACUGGGACCGAUGCGGCUUUCGGGCUGCGUCGGUAUUCUGGAAAGAUGUCCAAACUGUAUCAUUUAGAGGAAGUAAAAGUCGUAACA
This 327-nucleotide ribosomal RNA is filed under the name uncultured eukaryote. RNAcentral's name for it is "partial 18S ribosomal RNA". It matches the Rfam family "Eukaryotic small subunit ribosomal RNA", at positions 1470 to 1796 of the family's 1831-position model. The record is from RNAcentral.